CUGUGGACACAUAAAGGGUUUUUUUUCUCUGAGGGACAACUUAUGUUCUAGAGAAAAAGCAGGAUGAUAGCACCUCAUUUGUGUGAUUACAUGUGAUGGAUCAAGUGUGGUGUGCAGAUUGGGAUCAAGAUCAGGCCCUUGUCCCUGUAACCAGCACUGCUAACAGCACUGGAAACAUACCUAAACAAUCACAACAAGAAUAUUGUGCAAUUGUCUGGCUUUGCUAUCAUUUUCCCUUGACAGGAAAUAUUAAAAAAAAAUGAAAUUA
Pocillopora damicornis (cauliflower coral) is the source of this 268-nucleotide long non-coding RNA. The record is from RefSeq and is a predicted model, not a curated record. NCBI's taxonomy places the organism in Eukaryota, Metazoa, Cnidaria, Anthozoa, Scleractinia, Pocilloporidae.